Molecule: ribosomal RNA, 433 nt
Filed under: uncultured bacterium
Lineage: Bacteria
Description: partial 16S ribosomal RNA
Rfam family: Bacterial small subunit ribosomal RNA
Source: RNAcentral
AACGAACGCUGGCGGCAUGCCUAACACAUGCAAGUCGAACGAAACCUUCGGGUCUAGUGGCGCACGGGUGCGUAACGCGUGGGAACCUGCCCUUAGGUUCGGAAUAACUCCCCGAAAGGGGUGCUAAUACCGGAUAAUGUCUUCGGACCAAAGAUUUAUUGCCCUUGGAUGGGCCCGCGUUGGAUUCGCUAGUUGGGAGGGUAAAAGACUACCAAGGCGACGAUCCAUAGCUUGUCAUAGAGGAAGGUUAGCCACACUGGGACUAGGACACGGCCCAGAAUCCUCCGGGAGGGGCGAAGGGGGGACGGUGGAACGCCGGGGGAAGGCUGAAGCCCGUAGGACCGGGAAAUUAUGAAAGGCGUGAGGAUGAAAAGUCUCUUUAACCGGGAAGGUAAUGACGGUACCGGGUGAAAAAGCCCCGGCUAACUCCGUG